CCUACGGGAGGCAGCAGUGAGGAAUAUUGGUCAAUGGCCGGAAGGCUGAACCAGCCAUGCCGCGUGAAGGUCAGUGCCCUAUGGGCGUUAAACUUCUUUUGUGCGGGAGCAAUAAUGGUCACGUGUGGCCAGACGAGAGUACCGUACGAAUAAGCAUCGGCUAACUCCGGGCCAGCAGCCGCGGUAAGACGGGGGAUGCAAGCGUUAUCCGGGUUUAUUGGGUUUAAAGGGUGCGUAGGCUGGGAGGUAAGUCAGCGGUGAAAUGCCCCCUCUCAACGGGGUGAAGUGCCAUUGAUACUGGCGUGCUGGAAUGCGGAUGCCGUGGGAGGAAUGUGUGGUGUAGCGGUGAAAUGCAUAGAUAUCACACAGAACACCGAUUGCGAAGGCAUCUCACGAAGCCGCGAUUGACGCUGAUGCACGAAAGCGUGGGUAUCAAACAGGAUUAGAUACCCGAGUAGUC
This 460-nucleotide ribosomal RNA is filed under the name uncultured bacterium. RNAcentral describes it as "partial 16S ribosomal RNA". It matches the Rfam family "Bacterial small subunit ribosomal RNA", at positions 338 to 795 of the family's 1533-position model. The record is from RNAcentral.